CGCAGGCGGGUUGGCAAGUCAGAGGUGAAAUCCUACAGCUUAACUGUAGAACUGCCUUUGAGACUGCUAAUCUUGAGUACGGAAGAGAGAGAUGGAAUUCCAGGUGUAGUGGUGAAAUACGUAGAUAUCUGGAAGAACACCAGUGGCGAAGGCGAUCUCUUGGUCCUUUACUGACGCUAAGGCGCGAAAGCGUGGGGAGCAAACA
Molecule: ribosomal RNA, 205 nt
Filed under: uncultured bacterium
Lineage: Bacteria
Description: partial 16S ribosomal RNA
Rfam family: Bacterial small subunit ribosomal RNA
Source: RNAcentral